UCAAUUGAGCUGCUGGCUGGCGCGCUGGCCGACUGCUGCGCACAUAGUUACAAAGCGGCACUAAAGCGGGCUAGGAGACUAGCAAAGUGCCACACGCACGUCCCUCUCAGCGCUCUCAAUGGCUGGAAAUGGCGGCUACGUUGCCAACCAACAAUGGCAAGGGACGCAUGCACACGUUCAAUCGGUUUUUCUUACUAUAAAAGCUGUGGAGCAAACAGUUUGCCGGUAUAAAUGUUGGAUGGGUGGAUGCAUGGAUGAAUUGAUUGAUUUGAGUUUGAUGUGGUGUUCCUCGCUUGCUGCUUACAAUGGCUUGGCUCGAGCAUGGUCCGUUCAUCCAGUUUCCAUCCAAUCAAUCAAAUCAAGGUACCCCUCUGCAAGAACGUUAUGGGGGUAGAGGACUAUCUAGACAAGCAUGAAAAAGAAUGGGUUUCUCAGAUAAUCUAUGUGCGAUGUUCUGUGGUCGAUUCGUCCGGGAUGAGAGGUACACACAAGCACGCGGGCUUCGGAUGGAUCUCUCUGCUUUGGGGAGGAAGAACAUGAGAGUUGUAUACAUAUGUAUGGGAUUGAAUGAAUGCCCUUACGCUCUCUGGAUCGGUGCCGUGCAGCAGGGUCUAGCAGCUCAGCAAAUGUUACACCACCAACAACAGAAAACAAAAGCAAAAAAAAUAAGGAAAAAAUCGUGAGUCGUAUGCGACUGAAAAGAGGAACACGCGCGCAGGAGGGGAGAGAAAUCCUCUAGUUUAUGCACUGCAGUGCCCGCCGGCCGAGUCUUUCGCUUGAGUAAGUUGGAAGCUCCAAGCACGAGAAACAUCGAGGCGAGAGCAAAGCACAAGCAAUGGUGGGGCGGGGGGGGAGGAAAUCAUAAAAUAUUCACUCCAGGGGACGAGUGAGUGACUGAGAGAGAGAGAGAGAGAGAGAGACAACAAAAAAAAAGAACAAAGAAAAGAAUCGCAACGAUGGAAGAACACCUCUCGUACGGGCGCGAUCAAGAGAAGUUUCUUUAUGAAAGCUUCGGCGAAUUGCGAGAGUGUUUUGUUCGGAUUUCAUUAUGGUGGAGAGGAGACUCAUGAUCCAGAUCUGAACGCAGCAGCAGCUGCCAGCCGGGCAGAGAUGGAGUUUUGCUUUCGUUUUUCUUUGCAUUUUUUGUAUCUGUGAGUCUGGAGCUCGAUUUGGAAGCAAAAAAACUAAUUUCUUGA
Long non-coding RNA from Selaginella moellendorffii, 1196 nucleotides. RefSeq lists it as uncharacterized. The record is from RefSeq and is a predicted model, not a curated record. The transcript is spliced from 3 exons. NCBI's taxonomy places the organism in Eukaryota, Viridiplantae, Streptophyta, Lycopodiopsida, Selaginellales, Selaginellaceae.